CAUAAAGCUAGAUUGAAACUGGUAGAAGCCAUGGCACAGCGGCAAUCAGUUGGCUUCUGUAUCGACGCAAUUGAGAAUGCUAUCGAUGGAAGACAAAUAUAAAUAGUGAAACUACAUUCCUUUAAUGUUGCAUUCUCUUUUGUUGAGUUCUCCGAACAACAUUCUUUUCCAAUUCUAGCUUACCACGAUGGCAAUUCUUG
This 200-nucleotide unclassified non-coding RNA is filed under the name Hevea brasiliensis (rubber tree). Lineage: Eukaryota; Viridiplantae; Streptophyta; Magnoliopsida; Malpighiales; Euphorbiaceae. The record is from RNAcentral.